AGAGUUUGAUCAUGGCUCAAAAUCAACGCUGGCGGCGUGCCUAACACAUGCAAGUCGAGCGCGAAAGUGGACUUCGGUCCGCGAGUAGAGCGGCGAACGGGUGAGUAACGCGUGGGUGAUCUGCCUUCGAGUGGGGAAUAACACUGGGAAACUGGUGCUAAUACCGCAUGACAUCUUCGGUUCGUUCCGGAGAUCAAAGCUGGGGACCGUAAGGCCUGGCGCUUGAAGAGGAGCCCGCGUCCGAUUAGCUAGUUGGCGGGGUAAUGGCCCACCAAGGCUUCUAUCGGUAGCCGGCCUGAGAGGGCGGACGGCCACACUGGGACUGAGACACGGCCCAGACUCCUACGGGAGGCAGCAGUGGGGAAUUUUUCGCAAUGGGGGAAACCCUGACGAAGCAACGCCGCGUGGAGGAUGAAGGCCCUCGGGUCGUAAACUCCUGUCGAUCGGGAAGAAUGCACACGGCCCAAUAAGUCGCUGUGUUGACUGUACCGGUGGAGGAAGCCACGGCUAACUCUGUGCCAGCAGCCGCGGUAAGACAGAGGUGGCAAGCGUUGUUCGGAAUUACUGGGCGUAAAGCGCGCGCAGGCGGUUCGUCAAGUCCCGUGUGAAAUCCCCCGGCUCAACUGGGGAACUGCGCGGGAAACUAGCAAGCUUGAGUUCGGGAGAG
Molecule: ribosomal RNA, 667 nt
Filed under: uncultured Holophaga sp.
Lineage: Bacteria; Pseudomonadati; Acidobacteriota; Holophagae; Holophagales; Holophagaceae
Description: bacterial SSU rRNA
Rfam family: Bacterial small subunit ribosomal RNA
Source: RNAcentral